Molecule: ribosomal RNA, 1384 nt
Filed under: uncultured microorganism
Description: bacterial SSU rRNA
Rfam family: Bacterial small subunit ribosomal RNA
Source: RNAcentral
AGGAUGAACGCUGGCGGCGUGCCUAAUACAUGCAAGUCGAGCGAACGGACGAGAAGCUUGCUUCUCUGAUGUUAGCGGCGGACGGGUGAGUAACACGUGGAUAACCUACCUAUAAGACUGGGAUAACUUCGGGAAACCGGAGCUAAUACCGGAUAAUAUUUUGAACCGCAUGGUUCAAAAGUGAAAGACGGUCUUGCUGUCACUUAUAGAUGGAUCCGCGCUGCAUUAGCUAGUUGGUAAGGUAACGGCUUACCAAGGCAACGAUGCAUAGCCGACCUGAGAGGGUGAUCGGCCACACUGGAACUGAGACACGGUCCAGACUCCUACGGGAGGCAGCAGUAGGGAAUCUUCCGCAAUGGGCGAAAGCCUGACGGAGCAACGCCGCGUGAGUGAUGAAGGUCUUCGGAUCGUAAAACUCUGUUAUUAGGGAAGAACAUAUGUGUAAGUAACUGUGCACAUCUUGACGGUACCUAAUCAGAAAGCCACGGCUAACUACGUGCCAGCAGCCGCGGUAAUACGUAGGUGGCAAGCGUUAUCCGGAAUUAUUGGGCGUAAAGCGCGCGUAGGCGGUUUUUUAAGUCUGAUGUGAAAGCCCACGGCUCAACCGUGGAGGGUCAUUGGAAACUGGAAAACUUGAGUGCAGAAGAGGAAAGUGGAAUUCCAUGUGUAGCGGUGAAAUGCGCAGAGAUAUGGAGGAACACCAGUGGCGAAGGCGACUUUCUGGUCUGUAACUGACGCUGAUGUGCGAAAGCGUGGGGAUCAAACAGGAUUAGAUACCCUGGUAGUCCACGCCGUAAACGAUGAGUGCUAAGUGUUAGGGGGUUUCCGCCCCUUAGUGCUGCAGCUAACGCAUUAAGCACUCCGCCUGGGGAGUACGACCGCAAGGUUGAAACUCAAAGGAAUUGACGGGGACCCGCACAAGCGGUGGAGCAUGUGGUUUAAUUCGAAGCAACGCGAAGAACCUUACCAAAUCUUGACAUCCUUUGACAACUCUAGAGAUAGAGCCUUCCCCUUCGGGGGACAAAGUGACAGGUGGUGCAUGGUUGUCGUCAGCUCGUGUCGUGAGAUGUUGGGUUAAGUCCCGCAACGAGCGCAACCCUUAAGCUUAGUUGCCAUCAUUAAGUUGGGCACUCUAAGAUGACUGCCGGUGACAAACCGGAGGAAGGUGGGGAUGACGUCAAAUCAUCAUGCCCCUUAUGAUUUGGGCUACACACGUGCUACAAUGGACAAUACAAAGGGCAGCGAAACCGCGAGGUCAAGCAAAUCCCAUAAAGUUGUUCUCAGUUCGGAUUGUAGUCUGCAACUCGACUACAUGAAGCUGGAAUCGCUAGUAAUCGUAGAUCAGCAUGCUACGGUGAAUACGUUCCGGGGUCUUGACACACCG